GACGAACCGUGCGAACGUUGUUCGGAAUCACUGGGCAUAAAGGGCGCGUAGGCGGCUUAUCAAGUCAGGGGUGAAAUCCGGCAGCUUAACUGUCGAAGUGCCCUUGAUACUGACGAGCUCGAGGGAGAUAGGGGUGUGUGGAACUUCCGGUGGAGCGGUGAAAUGCGUUGAUAUCGGAAGGAACGCCGGUGGCGAAAGCGACACACUGGAUCUCUUCUGACGCUGAGGCGCGAAAGCUAGGGGAGCAAACGGG
RNAcentral lists this ribosomal RNA (253 nucleotides) under uncultured bacterium. Its description in RNAcentral is "partial 16S ribosomal RNA". It matches the Rfam family "Bacterial small subunit ribosomal RNA", at positions 524 to 776 of the family's 1533-position model. The record is from RNAcentral.